RNAcentral lists this ribosomal RNA (253 nucleotides) under uncultured bacterium. RNAcentral describes it as "partial 16S ribosomal RNA". It matches the Rfam family "Bacterial small subunit ribosomal RNA", at positions 524 to 776 of the family's 1533-position model. The record is from RNAcentral.
UACAGAGGUCCCGAGCGUUGUUCGGAUUCACUGGGCGUAAAGGGUGCGUAGGUGGCUGGGAAAGUUUGAUGUGAAAGCUCAGGGCUUAACCCUGAAAUGGCAUUGAAUACUGCCUGGCUGGAGGUUUGGAGGGGGGACUGGAAUUCUUGGUGUAGCAGUGAAAUGCGUAGAGAUCCGGAGGAACACCAACGGCGUAGGCAGCGCCCUAGACGAGACCUGACGCUCAGGCACGAAAGCGCGGGGAGCGAACAGG